RNAcentral lists this ribosomal RNA (254 nucleotides) under uncultured bacterium. RNAcentral's name for it is "partial 16S ribosomal RNA". It matches the Rfam family "Bacterial small subunit ribosomal RNA", at positions 524 to 776 of the family's 1533-position model. The record is from RNAcentral.
UACGGGGGGAGCAAGCGUUGUUCGGAUUUACUGGGCGUAAAGGGCGCGUAGGCGGUCAGCACAAGUCAGUUGUGAAAUCUCCGGGCUUAACUCGGAAAGGUCAACUGAUACUGUGCGACUAGAGUGCGGAAGGGGCAACUGGAAUUCUCGGUGUAGCGGUGAAAUGCGUAGAUAUCAGGAGGAACACCGGUGGCGAAGGCGGUGGUCUGGGCCGGAACUGACGCUGAGGAGCGAAAGCGUGGGGAGCGAACAGG